GACGAACGUUGGCGGCGUGCUUAACACAUGCAAGUCGAACGGAAAGGCCCUGCUUUUGUGGGGUGCUCGAGUGGCGAACGGGUGAGUAACACGUGAGUAACCUGCCCUUGACUUUGGGAUAACUUCAGGAAACUGGGGCUAAUACCGGAUAGGAGCUCCUGCUGCAUGGUGGGGGUUGGAAAGUUUCGGCGGUUGGGGAUGGACUCGCGGCUUAUCAGCUUGUUGGUGGGGUAGUGGCUUACCAAGGCUUUGACGGGUAGCCGGCCUGAGAGGGUGACCGGCCACAUUGGGACUGAGAUACGGCCCAGACUCCUACGGGAGGCAGCAGUGGGGAAUAUUGCACAAUGGGCGGAAGCCUGAUGCAGCAACGCCGCGUGCGGGAUGACGGCCUUCGGGUUGUAAACCGCUUUCGCCUGUGACGAAGCGUGAGUGACGGUAAUGGGUAAAGAAGCACCGGCUAACUACGUGCCAGCAGCCGCGGUGAUACGUAGGGUGCGAGCGUUGUCCGGAUUUAUUGGGCGUAAAGGGCUCGUAGGUGGUUGAUCGCGUCGGAAGUGUAAUCUCGGGGCUUAACCCUGAGCGUGCUUUCGAUACGGGUUGACUUGAGGAAGGUAGGGGAGAAUGGAAUUCCUGGUGGAGCGGUGGAAUGCGCAGAUAUCAGGAGGAACACCAGUGGCGAAGGCGGUUCUCUGGGCCUUUCCUGACGCUGAGGAGCGAAAGCGUGGGGAGCGAACAGGCUUAGAUACCCUGGUAGUCCACGCUGUAAACGGUGGGUACUAGGUGUGGGGUCCAUUCCACGGGUUCCGUGCCGUAGCUAACGCUUUAAGUACCCCGCCUGGGGAGUACGGCCGCAAGGCUAAAACUCAAAGGAAUUGACGGGGCCCCGCACAAGCGGCGGAGCAUGCGGAUUAAUUCGAUGCAACGCGUAGAACCUUACCUGGGUUUGACAUGGAUCGGGAGUGCUCAGAGAUGGGUGUGCCUCUUUUGGGGUCGGUUCACAGGUGGUGCAUGCCUGUCGUCAGCUCGUGUCGUGAGAUGUUGGGUUAAGUCCCGCAACGAGCGCAACCCUUGUUCACUGUUGCCAGCACGUUAUGGUGGGGACUCAGUGGAGACCGCCGGGGUCAACUCGGAGGAAGGUGGGGAUGACGUCAAGUCCUCAUGCCCCUUAUGUCCAGGGCUUCACGCAUGCUACAAUGGCUGGUACAGAGAGUGGCGAGCCUGUGAGGGUGAGCGAAUCUCGGAAAGCCGGUCUCAGUUCGGAUUGGGGUCUGCAACUCGACCUCAUGAAGUCGGAGUCGCUAGUAAUCGCAGAUCAGCAACGCUGCGGUGAAUACGUUCCCGGG
RNAcentral lists this ribosomal RNA (1343 nucleotides) under uncultured bacterium. RNAcentral describes it as "16S ribosomal RNA". It matches the Rfam family "Bacterial small subunit ribosomal RNA", at positions 28 to 1378 of the family's 1533-position model. The record is from RNAcentral.